Scatophagus argus is the source of this 377-nucleotide long non-coding RNA. RefSeq lists it as uncharacterized. The transcript is spliced from 3 exons. NCBI's taxonomy places the organism in Eukaryota, Metazoa, Chordata, Actinopteri, Scatophagidae. The record is from RefSeq and is a predicted model, not a curated record.
CACUAGCAGGUUUUGGCUUGCUUGAAAAAACACUCAGCUCGUCUCUCUCCUCCUUGUCAAACACUUCAUUGUGCAGAGCAGACACAAAGGUUGAAGACAGUAUAGCAUUGGGCUCAUUCACACUAGCCUGCUCUGUUCAGGAUGGACAGCACCAACAUCUUUAUAUCUUGUUUCCACUUCACACUGAUGACUUUCCCAACCUGGACUUGAUAAGCAACGCGAUGGAAUUAACAACAAACAUACCGCUCCUAUAGCAUCACAACAGCAUUUCUGUGGUUGAUGAAGAAACAAGAUGCUGCAUCCAUCAGUCUGUGGAUUUGCUUGUUUGCUGCCGUUACGUUAGAUGAGUGUCAACUGUUCUCUGACCAAGUAAAAUA